AGGAGGAGGCGCGGGCGCCGUCGGGUCCCAUUGAUAAAAGUUUCGCGGUGCGGCAAGCACGUAGCUUAAUCGAGGUCACAAAUCGCGCACGUUCCGCCUCUAUUUAUUCGCCUUCCGGCACAUUGCUACGAGACGUGCAUCCCGGGAAAAACGGACGUCAAAUCAUAGAUAAUUCCUGACACAGCCGCGUUAACAGACGCAGAGACUUCGCGCAUCCCUGAAGUUUCCAGGGGGAUUGAAACCGAGGAAAGAUCUUUUAACCCGAGGUUCUGCAGCAGCGGUUCUUGCACGCCGCUCUUCAACGCGAACUAGGCGCGUCUCCUCAGCCAUGAUACCUCCAUGACACCACACGGACGAAACAGUUCUGUGAAUGGGUAGAGAGAACUGUGGGGCCUUCGUGACGAAGGGUCAGGGGAAGGAAACGACCGAAGUAGCGAUUCUCAGCAGUCGGGGGACGCGGCUCUCCCUCUUCUCUCUCCCUCCCUCCCCCCCCCCCCCCCCCCCCACCGAAGUAGGCUGUCUCUCCCACACUACGUCCGGGCUCGCCGUCGGCUCGCCAUCCUCUGACUGUACGUGUUGCCUGCCCCCCGGCGCUCAGUCCGUUUUUCGUUCGCUCCUCGUGCGUACGAGACACUCACUCGCUUUUCCAUGCAUUUGUGGCUAUAUUCACGUGCCGACAUCUACCGGGUGUCCUUAAAAUAAUAUUCAAUCAUUUUACAACUCAGGACGCUAAUGAAACACAACUCAUCGUUUAUUAAUUUUUUUUUUUUUUACUUUGCUGUAAAUAUUCCCGCCUUCGGUAUUGAAAUCCAAAGUAUCGAAGGAUGCCAUCUGGCGACAGAAGAUUUACUAUGCUGAUCCGUUCAUAUUUAGUUGUAAGACUUAUUUUUAUGACUAUCUUUCAGUCUUCAGCAACAUAUUUUUAUAAAACAGACGCUUAAUCUUUUGCACAAAAUCUUCUGUCCAUUUAUUUGCGCGUUAUUCAGCUAAAACAGAUGCUUGAACGAUCAGCUGAUCAUUUAGUGCGAUGCCAUAUUGUUUUAUCCACACCCAUACUUUGGAUACCAAUUAUAUUCAAUCUUUUUUUUAAUUCCAUUUUCCUUUAUGAUUUCAUUCAUAUCGGGUAGCAGCCACGUUUAUUGCGUCAAUAUGUACACCCGUGUGUCAGCUGUUCAAAGGCUAUCUUAUCAACAUUUUAUUCUAAGUUUAGGCUCAUUUGUGGCCAACUACGACUAUUUCACCUAUAAUGGUCGUAUCGAAGGUAUCAUUUUCACCGAAUAAGUGAUUACAAUAUUUCCUAAUUAUUAAGAAUUUAAUGGGUGAAGAUAGAUAUCGGAAUCCCUUCGACAGCUUUAAAAAUCAAGCGCAAAAUUUAACCACUCGCCUUAAAUAAUUUCCCACGGUCUUCGAAUUAGGUACACCAUUGAGUAACAAUUUAUCAUUUGUUCGUUUCUUUCCUGCAAAUAAUCCUCUGGGAAAUAUACGGAUCCGUCGAAUGCCUCCCGGCAGCUAAAAAUUUAGCACGGUAAUCGGGUCGUAUUUGAUUAUAAAAAUCAUUUUAUGUUCUAUACUUUACUCUUCAUCAAAUCAUCGUAACAAAAUAAAUGUCUGACCGCUUGCACAAAGUUUUAUGUCCAUUUAUAUUCGUUUAUAAUAAUUGAUCUACAAUCAAGGCUUAAAUGAUCAGCUGAUUACCCGGUGACAUGUCCUAUCGAUUUAUCCAAGCCAAUACUAGGCUUUCGAUAUUAAUCAAUUCAACCUUGUAUUAAAUCCUUCAACUUUUUAACCCUUUUUCGCGUCAUUUCAUGGUUGCCACGUAGUUCUUCAACUAGAUUUUGGAAAUAUUAAUGAAGGAAAUGUUUAAAGACGACUGGCGCACGGCAUGUUUCGUCGGCAUUUUGUGCUUUCAUAUUGAAAUGCAGGUUCAUCUUUUUUCGAUGACAAUUUUUUUUACUCAAACUGUGAAAUUUGUACUUUAUGAACACGCUGUAUGUACGAAUGCGUACGAAUAGUCCGGAAAGAGCGUGAUUACUAUAGUUUUAUUUUAUCACCAGUGUAAAGAAAUUUGUAAAUAGCUACAGCGGAUAAAAAAAAUUAAAGUAUUAUUUUUGAAUUGGCUUUGUAUCAGAAUGAGUUGAUUGAUAUUUAGAAAAUCUCAGCAAUUUCAUCUCUAACCACUUUUUAGAGAUGAUAAUUUCUUAUCUUGUAUAGUACACACACUCUCAAAUCAGAUGAUGAAUCAGUUUUAUCAGAAUUACCACUAAUUUGUAUGCUAUCAAGUUCCAUUAUCGCUUACAAUAUAUUUCUAAGCGUAAGUAACAGCCGAUAGCUCACGAAAUGUGUACCGAAAUAAUAAAGCUUACGAAUUACAAAAAAAAAGGUAUAACAUUCGAUAAUGCGUGUUAAACAUGUGGAAAUAAAUAUAUACCAAUAUUAAUGUAA
RNAcentral lists this long non-coding RNA (2442 nucleotides) under Neodiprion pinetum (white pine sawfly). RNAcentral's name for it is "uncharacterized LOC124213124". Lineage: Eukaryota; Metazoa; Arthropoda; Insecta; Hymenoptera; Diprionidae. The record is from RNAcentral.